UUUAUACUUCCUCCGUCUAACAAAAAAUGUCUCAACUUUAAUCAAAUCUGAAUGCAUCUAUACACUAAGUCAUGUCUAGAUACAUCUAAAUUUUGACAAAUUUGAGACAUCUUUUGUUGACAGAGGGAGUACUAA
This is a non-coding RNA of Brachypodium distachyon (stiff brome), 135 nucleotides long. NCBI's taxonomy places the organism in Eukaryota, Viridiplantae, Streptophyta, Magnoliopsida, Poales, Poaceae. The record is from Rfam.